RNAcentral lists this ribosomal RNA (470 nucleotides) under uncultured bacterium. Its description in RNAcentral is "SSU rRNA". It matches the Rfam family "Bacterial small subunit ribosomal RNA", at positions 26 to 518 of the family's 1533-position model. The record is from RNAcentral.
AGAUUGAACGCUGGCGGCGUGCUUAACACAUGCAAGUCGAGCGGUAACGCGGGAGCAAUCCUGGCGACGAGCGGCGAACGGGUGAGUAAUGCUUGGGAAUCUGCCCAUUAGUGGGGAACAACCAGCCGAAAGGUUGGCUAAUACCGCAUACGCCCUACGGGGGAAAGCGGGGGCUCGUAAGACCUCGCGCUAAUGGAUGAGCCCAAGUCGGAUUAGCUUGUUGGUAGGGUAACGGCCUACCAAGGCGACAAUCCGUAGCUGGUCUGAGAGGAUGACCAGCAUCACUGGGACUGAGACACGGCCCAGACUCCUACGGGAGGCAGCAGUGGGGAAUAUUGGACAAUGGGCGAAAGCCUGAUCCAGCCAUGCCGCGUGAGUGAUGAAGGCCUUAGGGUUGUAAAGCUCUUUCAGUGGGAAGAUAAUGACGGUACCCACAGAAGAAGCCCGGCUAACUUCGUGCCAGCAGCCGC